Long non-coding RNA from Cervus elaphus (red deer), 317 nucleotides. RefSeq lists it as uncharacterized. NCBI's taxonomy places the organism in Eukaryota, Metazoa, Chordata, Mammalia, Artiodactyla, Cervidae. The transcript has 3 exons. The record is from RefSeq and is a predicted model, not a curated record.
CCCUCCUUAAAGGGGCAGCAUCUUAAAGGCUGAGAUGGCUUCUGGGUGGACCCGCGUCUUGCAGCCUUCUCAUUUUACAGAUGGAAAACUGAGGCUUGUCCAAGAUCACACAAAACUGAAAGUGAGAAGAUAGUCACCUAUGGACCAGAAAGCAGGCCCUCACCAAACUUCAAACCUGCCAGCCUGGAUCGUGGGAUUCCCACCUCCACAACUGGUGAAGAACACGAACACAGGGAGUUAGAGUCCCACAUGCUGAUAACUCCAUCAAGAGAGAAGAAAGAUUUUUCUCUUCCAGCUGCAGAAUGAGAACCUCCAGG